GACGAACGCUGGCGGCGUGCUUAACACAUGCAAGUCGAGCGGAAAGGCCCUUCGGGGUACUCGAGCGCGAACGGGUGGGUUACACGUGAGUAAACUGCCCCAGACUUUGGGAUUACCCCUGGAAACGGGGGGCAAUAACGGAUAAGACCACGUCUCGCCUGGGGUCCGUGGGGGAAGUUUUUCGGUUUGGGAUGGGUCCGCGGCCUAUUAGCUUGUUGGUGGGGUGAUGGCCUACCAAGGCGACGACGGGUAGCCGGCCUGAGAGGGCGACCGGCCACACUGGGACUGAGACACGGCCCAGACUCCUACGGGAGGCAGCAGUGGGGAAUAUUGCACAAUGGGCGGAAGCCUGAUGCAGCGACGCCGCGUGAGGGAUGACGGCCUUCGGGUUGUAAACCUCUUUCAGCAGGGACGAAGCGUAAGUGACGGUACCUGCAGAAGAAGCGCCGGCCAACUACGUG
Molecule: ribosomal RNA, 461 nt
Filed under: uncultured bacterium
Lineage: Bacteria
Description: partial 16S ribosomal RNA
Rfam family: Bacterial small subunit ribosomal RNA
Source: RNAcentral